AUUGAACGCUGGCGGAAUGCUUUACACAUGCAAGUCGAACGGCAGCACGGACUUCGGUCUGGUGGCGAGUGGCGAACGGGUGAGUAAUGUAUCGGAACGUGCCUAGUCGUUGGGGAUAACGUAGUGAAAAUUACGCUAAUACCGCAUACGAUCUAUGGAUGAAAGCGGGGGAUCGCAAAACCUCGCGCGAUUGGAGCGGCCGAUAUCAGAUUAGGUAGUUGGUGGGGUAAAGGCCCACCAAGCCAACGAUCUGUAGCUGGUCUGAGAGGACGACCAGCCACACUGGAACUGAGACACGGUCCAGACUCCUACGGGAGGCAGCAGUGGGGAAUUUUGGACAAUGGGCGAAAGCCUGAUCCAGCCAUUCCGCGUGCAGGAUGAAGGCCCUCGGGUUGUAAACUGCUUUUGUACAGAACGAAAAGGUUUCUACUAAUACUAGGAGCUCAUGACGGUACUGUAAGAAUAAGCACCGGCUAACUACGUGCCAGCAGCCGCAGUAA
This 500-nucleotide ribosomal RNA is filed under the name uncultured bacterium. Its description in RNAcentral is "partial 16S ribosomal RNA". It matches the Rfam family "Bacterial small subunit ribosomal RNA", at positions 30 to 523 of the family's 1533-position model. The record is from RNAcentral.